Molecule: ribosomal RNA, 772 nt
Filed under: uncultured archaeon
Lineage: Archaea
Description: bacterial SSU rRNA
Rfam family: Archaeal small subunit ribosomal RNA
Source: RNAcentral
ACUGCUCAGUAACAUGUGGAUAACCUACCCUUAGGACUGGGAUAACCCCGGGAAACUGGGGAUAAUACCGGAUAGAUCAAGGAUUGCUGGAAUGCGCCUUGAUCCAAAGCUCCGGCGCCUAAGGAUGGGUCUGCGGCCUAUCAGGUUGUAGUGGGUGUAACGUACCUACUAGCCGACGACGGGUACGGGUUGUGAGAGCAAGAGCCCGGAGAUGGAUUCUGAGACACGAAUCCAGGCCCUACGGGGUGCAGCAGGCGCGAAACCUUUACAAUGUGCGAAAGCAUGAUAAGGGAACUCCGAGUGCCAGCAUCUAAUGUUGGCUGUCCUUGUGCCUAAAACGCACGAGAUAGCAAGGGCCGGGUAAGACCGGUGCCAGCCGCCGCGGUAACACCGGCGGCCCGAGUGGUAGCCGCUAUUAUUGGGUCUAAAGGGUCCGUAGCCGGUUCGGUAAGUCCUCUGGGAAAUCUGGUUGCUUAACAAUCAGGCUGCCAAGGGAUACUGCCGAACUUGAGACCGGGAGAGGUAAGAGGUACUUCAGGGGUAGGAGUGAAAUCUUGUAAUCCCUGGGGGACCGUCUGUGGCGAAGGCGUCUUACCAGAACGGGUCUGACGGUGAGGGACGAAAGCUGGGGGCGCGAACCGGAUUAGAUACCCGGGUAGUCCCAGCCGUAAACGAUGCUCGCUAUGUGUCAGGUAUGGUGCGACCAUAUCUGGUGCCGUAGGGAAGCCGUGAAGCGAGCCACCUGGGAAGUACGGCCGCAAGGCUGAAACUU